Molecule: non-coding RNA, 2039 nt
Organism: Solanum lycopersicum (tomato)
Lineage: Eukaryota; Viridiplantae; Streptophyta; Magnoliopsida; Solanales; Solanaceae
Source: RefSeq, a predicted model, not a curated record
CUAAAUUCAAUUCUCUCUCUUUCUCUCAGAGAAAUGAAGUUGCAGCCGAUAAAACUCGACCCAAUAGUAAUUUCAUGAAAUUCUAUCUUCUUGAGGAAUAACGUGUAAUAGGUUCUUUGGAUAUUUGCCUUUGAAUCAAGGCGGUUCCAUUAGUGAUCUCAAGCAACAUAUUAAUGAUCAAUUAGUUGAAGAUUGCAUAAAUCAUGAAGUGAUUUGAAUGGUAAUAUCAGAUCGUUUUUUUAAAAUAAGUCAUAAUUCUCUCAUGUUUUGUUAUUUUUCAUUCAUCUGUCUUUUGAAUGUGAAAUAAGCACUUUUAAUGUCAACAAACUUUUUGGAUCCACAAAAAUGAUAGGAUAAUGUAAAAAGAAACUGUUGAAAAGGUACAUAUGUAAUUGAUUUAUCUAUUGUCUUUUGAAUGAUUUUUCUUUACAAUAUUAUUUGAUUUAACUUUUGUCUUUCUCCACUUGCGAUACAAAUCUGAUGCACAUUUGCUUCAAUAAAUACUAUAAUGAAGACGAAAAGGGUGAAUAAACUUAUAACUCAACCAUACUUUCAUAUUGAGAAUACAACUGAAAUGACUCUUUGUUACUAUUCCACAAAUGAAUUUUUGCUAUAUUUUGUAACACUUCAUAAAUGGACAAGCAAAUCUGAUAUUCGUUGUAAGCUUUUAGUUGAUUCUGGUGACUAUAACAAUGGAAAUAUUUUUUUAGAUACAUAUUGGUUAUUAAUAGUAAUAAAAAAAAGUAUGUGUUACCAACAAGGGUUGUGAUGGAGGACUAAGUACUCCUUCAUCCUUAAUCAAGAAAUCUCAGGUUCGAGUUUUCUUUGUCUUUAUUAAGGAGCCCUUUACCUCCCAAUGUGGGACUUCCUCCCAAUAUGAAUGUGAAUAUCAGAAACUGAGUGAGAAAGAAAAAAAUUUAUAGUAUGUGUAGAUUAUUCUAAAAAAUAUGUUUAACUUCUUUUCUCCUCUACAAGAAAGAUUCAUAGUUACUUGUUUUGGAUGAGUUCUCACUUUUAAUAGUUUAUGUAGCUCUGAGGCAUGUUUUAUAUGUCAUAUGAAUUUUACUUUUUCUAGCCAAAUAUUCUCAAUUGAAGAUUGAUUAAGGUAAAGUAGAAUUAGAUUGUCUUAAAACUCUUAACAGUACUGGAAACACAUUUAUUUGAAUGCUUGAUAUAAUAUUUGAUUUUUUUCUAUUUCAAGGGUAUUUGUGGCUGACAUCUUAUUGUAAGUUUGAGUUUUAAUUUAUGGAACCAAAAUAUAAUCCUAUUUGGUUUGGACUUGUUUACAUAUAAAGAUUGUCUUGGAGAUAAGGUCGUAGUAUCAUCAAUAUUGCUUCUACGGUUGAAUUAUUUUUUUUAUGUGAAAUAUAUUAUCUUGAGAUGAUAUAAAUAAAUCUAUGUUUGAUCAGCUUUUGUAAUGUUAAAGGAAUAAGCACAUUAAAUUUUCCGCUUUUUUCAAUGAGUCUUCUAUUGUGUAGCUUCACUUGAGUUUCAUGUUGUCUUAUGCAGAAUAUAUAGAUAUUAUUGAAGAUAAAAUUUAUGUGCUAUUUCUAAGCCUUUCAGGUUCAUUGGUGAGCAAGCCACCUGUACUGCUGCCAAAAGUUGUAAUCCAACAUCUAUAUACUCUUCCUCUUCCUUCACUAAUAAGCAGAUUUUCUGAAACAAAAUUCAAUUCUCUCUCUCUCUCUCUCAGGUAAUUUGUUUUAUUUUCUUAUGUUUGGUCUAGACUUUAAUUCUUUUUUUUGUGUCUUGCUUUCAAUUUCUUUUUCAGAAGUUUUAAAUUUUGGUUCGUUGGAUUGUUUGGGGAUAUUGCCGCUUGAUUGAAAUUGGACUUAUCGUUUUAUAUUAGUCCUCCCUCACUGCUGGCCUUUCGGCUCUUUUCAAAACUGAUUUUGUACUCAUUUACUACGUUAUAUCAAUUGCAUAGUCAUCAAAGGUAUUAAUGAGAAUAGAGACAUGCUAUGUGAAUAAAAUUCUCUAAGGUUAGUAAUGGAUUGUGUCAAUUAUUUUGAUCACCCUUUUUGCUAAUACAAUUUGUU